Molecule: ribosomal RNA, 844 nt
Filed under: uncultured bacterium
Lineage: Bacteria
Description: bacterial SSU rRNA
Rfam family: Bacterial small subunit ribosomal RNA
Source: RNAcentral
AGAGUUUGAUCCUGGCUCAGGAUGAACGCUAGCGGCAGGCUUAACACAUGCAAGUCGAGGGGCAGCACGGGUAGCAAUACCUGGUGGCGACCGGCGGAAGGGUGCGUAACGCGUGAGCAACCUGCCCGUAUCUGGGACAUAACCGGUGGAAACGCCGCCUAAUUUCCCAUAACAACAGAGGCCGCAUGACCUUUGCUUGAAAGCUUCGGCGGAUACGGAUGGGCUCGCGAGACAUUAGCUUGUUGGUGAGGUAACGGCCCACCAAGGCUACGAUGUCUAGGGGUUCUGAGAGGAAGGUCCCCCACAUUGGAACUGAGACACGGUCCAAACUCCUACGGGAGGCAGCAGUGAGGAAUAUUGGUCAAUGGACGGAAGUCUGAACCAGCCAUGCCGCGUGCAGGAAUAAGGCCCUAUGGGUCGUAAACUGCUUUUGUGGUGGAGCAAUAAGACGUACGUGUACGUCGAUGAGAGUACAUCACGAAUAAGCAUCGGCUAACUCCGUGCCAGCAGCCGCGGUAAUACGGAGGAUGCAAGCGUUAUCCGGAUUCAUUGGGUUUAAAGGGUGCGUAGGCUGUGCGGCAAGUCAGGGGUGAAAGCCCGCCGCCCAACGGCGGAACUGCCUUUGAUACUGUCGCGCUGGAAUACGGAUGCCGUGGGAGGAAUGAGUAGUGUAGCGGUGAAAUGCAUAGAUAUUACUCAGAACACCGAUUGCGAAGGCAUCUCACGAAUCCGUCAUUGACGCUGAGGCACGAAAGCGUGGGGAUCAAACAGGAUUAGAUACCCUGGUAGUCCACGCAGUAAACGAUGAUGACUAACCGUCCGGCAAUACCCAGUCGGUGGCCAA